UCAAACUUGGUCAUUUAGAGGAAGUAAAAGUCGUAACAAGGUCUCCGUAGGUGAGUAAUUAUGUUUUUCCGCAAACCCAUCAAAUCGACAUCAACUAACCAAUUCACAGGUGAACCUGCGGAGGGAUCAUUACCGAGUUCCGGGUGAAAAACCCGAACCUCCAACCCAUUGUUGUCCGACUCUGUUGCCUCGGGGUAAACCUUAACCGGACCCCGGUGGACUUUUAAACACUGAUUUGAUGGUCGUCUGAUUUAUCAUUGUAAAUUAAACAAAACUUUCAACAACGGAUCUCUUGGUUCUGGCAUCGAUGAAGAACGCAGC
This 321-nucleotide unclassified non-coding RNA is filed under the name uncultured fungus. RNAcentral describes it as "partial contains small subunit ribosomal RNA, internal transcribed spacer 1, and 5.8S ribosomal RNA". The stretch from base 1 to 132 matches the Rfam family "Eukaryotic small subunit ribosomal RNA", at positions 1759 to 1831 of the family's 1831-position model. The record is from RNAcentral. Lineage: Eukaryota; Fungi.